Molecule: long non-coding RNA, 816 nt
Organism: Phacochoerus africanus (Common warthog)
Lineage: Eukaryota; Metazoa; Chordata; Mammalia; Artiodactyla; Suidae
Exons: 5
Source: RefSeq, a predicted model, not a curated record
AGAGAGAGUAAGGGGUGUUGAGACUCUCUGGACAGUAUAUCGGGUUGAAUCCCACUAAGUCCUCUAAUUUAAACAUUUAAGGUUCUGAUGGGUGGGUGCGGAGAGCUAGCUGUCUUGCGCCGCCCAAGACAAGCCUCCUAAGCUAAUUCCCUUGCUUAUUAAACCUGCCGCCUGCCCAUCUGGAGGGGUUGUCUCUUCAGGCGUCUCCUUCUGUGUAUUCCGGCUGGUUUCAGAUUUCACCUGUGAAGCUCCCGAGGAGGCUGUGAACUGAGAGAAAUGACAUAUAAAGCUUGGAUUUGCCAGGUUUAGGAGGCGUGGAACAGAGUGAACAAGAUGGGAUUUGGAGUCACAGACUACUGGGUUCAAAUUCCAGCAGCACUGCUUCCUGGUGGUGUGGCCAUGAUAUCCAACUGAAGGAGACUGGAUUAACCCAUGGACAGUGAGGUCAGGGUACCACCCCUCCCCUUCAAAGGAUCUGCCUAGGGACAGGUCAAGGGAACUACGGUCAGCCCCUAGCUGUUGGAGAAGAGUUCUUGGGAUGCUCACCAGGGUCUCCACCAUGUUGGACUUGUUGUUACGUAAUGUUUUCACGAUGUGGAACACGUCGAUGAUGUUUUGCUGCUGGAUCAUCUCACACACGCUGCAGAUGGCACAGAAGGUUCCACUGCGGCCGCCCCCGUUUCUAAACACAGAGGAAAGCGGUGAGCCAGAUUCCCUUCAGGCCACACCAGUACUGGGGAAAUGCCCUGGCAAAUGCGAGAACAAGAGCAAAUAAUCCUAAAAUUUAUAUGGAACCAUAAAAGACCAAGAAUUGCC